GACUCAGUCUCGGAGGAAGUUUGCAAGGCAAAGUUGCUGGCUGAAUCCCCAGAAAUACGAGUACGCUUGUCUAGCAGAAUAUAAGAUAAGGAUAAAGUCCAAAUUAGCAGACAACCUGGAGCUGCAGACGUGUAUGAUGCACGUACUAUCCAGACCCUGAGAAGCCAAAAAGACAUCAAUCAAGCUAUGCUGUUGCACUGCGAGCCAAUCACAAUCCAGCACGACCUCCAGACCCCUCCUCUAAGAUUUACCCUAUAAAUGCUCCUGAUUCUAAGCCUUGGGAAGUUCUGGUGCAGCAUUAGCUGGCUUCAUCUCCUUGGCUGGCCCUCUCCAAUAAAUGCUAAUCUUUCCUAUGCA
Long non-coding RNA from Galeopterus variegatus (Sunda flying lemur), 357 nucleotides. RefSeq lists it as uncharacterized. Lineage: Eukaryota; Metazoa; Chordata; Mammalia; Dermoptera; Cynocephalidae. The record is from RefSeq and is a predicted model, not a curated record. The transcript has 2 exons.